CGGACGGGAUUGGAGAGCUUGCUUUCCUGAGAGUGGCGCACGGGUGCGUAACACGUAUGUAACCUACCUUUAUCAGGGGGAUAGCCUCUCGAAAGAGAGAUUAAGCCCGCAUAAUAUGAAGACACAGCAUUGUGAUUUCAUCAAAUAUUUAUAGGAUAGAGAUGGGCAUGCGGAACAUUAGCUAGUUGGUAAGGUAAUGGCUUACCAAGGCUACGAUGUUUAGGGGAUCUGAGAGGAUGACCCCCCACACUGGUACUGAGACACGGACCAGACUCCUACGGGAGGCAGCAGUAAGGAAUAUUGGUCAAUGGGCGGAAGCCUGAACCAGCCAUGCCGCGUGCAGGAAGACGGCCCUACGGGUUGUAAACUGCUUUUGUACCGGAAUAAACCCUGAUUCGUGAAUCAGGCUGAAUGUACGGUAAGAAUAAGGAUCGGCUAACUCCGUGCCAGCAGCCGCGGUAAUACGGAGGAUCCAAGCGUUAUCCGGAUUUAUUGGGUUUAAAGGGUGCGUAGGCGGCCUGUUAAGUCAGGGGUGAAAGACGGUAGCUCAACUAUCGCAGUGCCCUUGAUACUGAUGGGCUUGAAUGUACUAGAGGUAGGCGGAAUGUGACAAGUAGCGGUGAAAUGCAUAGAUAUGUCACAGAACACCAAUUGCGAAGGCAGCUUACUAUGGUAUGAUUGACGCUGA
RNAcentral lists this ribosomal RNA (688 nucleotides) under uncultured bacterium. RNAcentral describes it as "bacterial SSU rRNA". It matches the Rfam family "Bacterial small subunit ribosomal RNA", at positions 63 to 749 of the family's 1533-position model. The record is from RNAcentral.